UACAGAGGUCUCAACCGUUGUUCGGAUUCAUUGGGCGUAAAGGGUGCGUAGGCGGUCGCGCAAGUCGGAUGUGAAAUCUCAGGGCUCAACCCUGAAACUGCAUUCGAUACUGCGUGGCUAGAGUGCUGGAGAGGAGACUGGAAUUUACGGUGUAGCAGUGAAAUGCGUAGAUAUCGUAAGGAAGACCAGUGGCGAAGGCGAGUCUCUGGACAGCAAACUGACGCUGAGGCACGAAGGCCAGGGGGAGCAAACGGG
This 255-nucleotide ribosomal RNA is filed under the name uncultured bacterium. Its description in RNAcentral is "partial 16S ribosomal RNA". It matches the Rfam family "Bacterial small subunit ribosomal RNA", at positions 524 to 776 of the family's 1533-position model. The record is from RNAcentral.